AGGGCCAAAGAAAAUCAAGCACUUUGCUUCAAGCAAAACUGAGAUCUCCAUGCAGAAAGAGACAGGUCUGGGUUUGAAUCCUGGCUCCACCACUCAACAGCCAUGCACCUGGACCAAGGAGCUCAGCGGAGUGGUCACUCUCGGGAUGUCUGCAGCCAUCAUCCACAGUCCUGGGGCAAUCACUUAGGCUUCAAGCCUUGGACCUCAGUCUUCUCCAGCCAGGCUCUCAGGCUGGAGUGCAGUGACACGAUCUCGGAUCAAGUGAUUCUCCUGCCUCAGCCUCCCAAGUAGCUGGGAUUACCGGCGUGCGCCACCACACCUGGCUAAUUUUGCGUGUUUUUAGUAGAGACAGAGAUUUCACCAUGUUGAUCAGGCUGGUCUUGAAUUCCUGACCUCAGGUGAUCCAGCCGUCUUGGCCUCCCAAAGUGCUGAGAUUACAGGCAUGAGCCACGUGCCCGGUCCUUUUCCCAUUUUUAAAUUGGAUUUAUUUGUAAG
Molecule: long non-coding RNA, 495 nt
Filed under: Homo sapiens (human)
Lineage: Eukaryota; Metazoa; Chordata; Mammalia; Primates; Hominidae
Description: non-protein coding lnc-WDR73-10:1
Source: RNAcentral